GACAACUUCAGUCUGGUUCUCUUGGGUUGCUUGCUAUUGACCCCAGCUGCCAUGCUGUGAGGGAGCCCAGGUGACUGGGAGACACCACAGUCCUCACUAAGGCUCUAACCAACAGCCAGCAUCAGCUGUCAGACGUGUGACUGAGAAAUCUUUGAGAUAGCUCCAGCCUCAGCCAGUGUCCAACUGCAACAGCACAAGGGACUCUGAGCAAGAAUCACCUUCCGGAGCCUAGUUUACCCCAGAACUGUUAAGAGAAUAAUGGCCUGCAGACAAGUUGGAGUGGCUCUGCUCCAACUGUAUCUGAUUCUCCUCCCAGCAGCAGCGGGUGAGCCAAGGCAUGUUCCAGUGGCCAUGGCAGAAGCACAAGAGGGCGAGUGAAAAUGCUCUUAAAUCCCAGGUGGGGGCCCACUUAUGCUCCAUCCUGUUGACCAGUGCCAUUCAAUGGCCAAGGCCAAGGUUAAGGGAGAUGGAAAUCUAUCCAUCCCAUUGGCAGAGGUGUGGCUGCAGGAAGAGGUGAAGAAUUGGGACUAAUUUUCAAUAUACCACAGGAGGAGCUGAGGAAGAAGUAUGUCUACUUAAGAGGCCCCCAUAGACAUCCAGCCUCCUGGGCUCUGUCUCCAGCAUGAACCAGCCUGGUGGCUGUGACCUGGCCAGAGAAGCUCAACACUCAGCGUUCCACCCCAAGCCCGGUGAAAGUAUCACGAAUUUGUUGAGCAAUCGAAGCCCAAGCUCCCAUCAUCCCAACAGCUGCAGUGAAUCUAUCUGUGACUUCUCUGGAUACCCAUUAAAAAACAGCUCUCAGUAA
Pan troglodytes (chimpanzee) is the source of this 805-nucleotide long non-coding RNA. RefSeq lists it as uncharacterized. The transcript has 3 exons. Lineage: Eukaryota; Metazoa; Chordata; Mammalia; Primates; Hominidae. The record is from RefSeq and is a predicted model, not a curated record.